AGAGUUUGAUCCUGGCUCAGGACGAACGCUGGCGGCGUGCCUAAAACAUGCAAGUCGAACGAGGUCCACCCAGUGGCAACACUGGUGAAGACCUAGUGGCGAACGGGUGAGUAACACGUGAGGAACCUGCCCCGAAGACCGGAAUAACCCUCCGAAAGGAGAGCUAAUACCGGAUACCCCCACCAGAUCGCAUGGUCAGGUGAGGAAAUGCAUUGUGCUUCGGGAGGGCCUCGCGGCCUAUCAGCUUGUUGGUGGGGGUAACGGCCCACCAAGGCAUCGACGGGUAGCUGGUCUGAGAGGACGAUCAGCCACACUGGGACUGAGACACGGCCCAGACUCCUACGGGAGGCAGCAGUUAGGAAUCUUGCGCAAUGGGCGAAAGCCUGACGCAGCAACGCCGCGUGGGGGAUGAAGGCCCUCGGGUUGUAAACCCCUUUCAGUCGGGACGAAAAUGACGGUACCGACAGAAGAAGCCCCGGCCAACUACGUGCCAGCAGCCGCGGUGACACGUAGGGGGCAAGCGUUGUCCGGAUUUAUUGGGCGUAAAGGGCUCGUAGGCGGUUCGACAAGUCGGGUGUGAAACCUCCAGGCUCAACCUGGAGUCGCCGCUCGAAACUGUUGUGACUAGAGUCCGGUAGAGGAGCAUGGAAUUUGUGGUGUAGCGGUGGAAUGCGCAGAUAUCACAAGGAACACCAGUAGCGAAGGCGAUGCUCUGGGCCGGUACUGACGCUGAGGAGCGAAAGCAUGGGGAGCAAACAGGAUUAGAUACCCUAGUAGUCC
RNAcentral lists this ribosomal RNA (780 nucleotides) under uncultured bacterium. RNAcentral's name for it is "bacterial SSU rRNA". It matches the Rfam family "Bacterial small subunit ribosomal RNA", at positions 8 to 796 of the family's 1533-position model. The record is from RNAcentral.